GUUGUGACUAGCCUACCCUAGCCCCGCUGACCGGACUUUUAACGGCCCGGUCGGCAAUGCUGACUGGAGCCGCCAGGGUCCCUUUUUGACUGGGCGUUCCAGUCGAAAACCAGACACCUGGCAACCCUACUCAGCGCUGAGUCUGGGGCCUUCCGGCCUGGUCAAUAGGUGCUGCCUUUCUCCCCCUCUUCUGUCCUUCCCUCCAGCCCCUCCCCACAUGGUUCAUUUCUCUACCCUGUGACAGGCUGCCACCUCAGGGGCAGGCCUCCUUCUUCCCCGGGGAAGGUAUUACACAACUGGUUUAAUCUCUCCUGCCUGUGGAGAGCUGUCCCCUUGACACCCCAAGGUGACUUGUCAUGACUCCAGACUCCCCCUGACAGCUUUAAUCUCCCUGACACCUUCGCUCCCUCCACUUGGAUCUCAGAGUUAUGGGAACCAACUGCAGGCCCGGCCGGGGGGAAGACACAAAGAACCAAGGCAUGACAUGUGACUCUAAGAUUGGAUGGGCUUCUGAAGUCGACUGGAAAGGAUCCAUUGGAGAUGAUUCAUAUCAGCACUCGGGCCAAGGGAUUGUGGGAUAAAUGACUUCAGGGAACUCAGAAGUGUGCUGAAGAAGAAAAACGUGCAAGUGAUCCUUCUUCCUGAGCAAAGGAAGACAGAAUGCAGAAGAAUCUGCAAGUGAACCACUGGCUAGAGCCCCCCAGACCGGCGGCCGGGACCCAGGCAGUG
This is a long non-coding RNA of Mauremys mutica (yellowpond turtle), 729 nucleotides long. RefSeq lists it as uncharacterized. The transcript is spliced from 3 exons. Lineage: Eukaryota; Metazoa; Chordata; Testudines; Geoemydidae. The record is from RefSeq and is a predicted model, not a curated record.